UACGUAGGGUCCGAGCGUUGUCCGGAUUUAUUGGGCGUAAAGAGCUCGCAGGCGGUUCCGUAAGUCAGAUGUGAAAACUCAGGCUCAACCCGGAGACGCCAUCUGAUACUGCGGUGACUGGAGUCUGGUAGGGGAACACGGAAUUCCUGGUGUAGCGGUGAAAUGCGCAGAUAUCAGGAAGAACACCCGUGGCGAAAGCGGCUCUCUGGAACGGUACUGACACUGAGGAGCGAAAGCGUGGGGAGCGAACAGG
Molecule: ribosomal RNA, 253 nt
Filed under: uncultured bacterium
Lineage: Bacteria
Description: partial 16S ribosomal RNA
Rfam family: Bacterial small subunit ribosomal RNA
Source: RNAcentral